UGCAAGUCGAACGAUGAAGUGGAGCUUGCUCCACGAUUAGUGGCGAACGGGUGAGUAACACGUGAAUAACCUGCCCUCAAUUUCGGAAUAACCCAGGGAAACCUGGGCUAAUACCGGAUACGUAAACCUGUGGCGAUCACAUGGUUUUUGGAAAGUUUUUCGAUUGAGGAUGGAUUCGCGGCCUAUCAGGCUUGUUGGUGAGGUAAUGGCUCACCAAGGCGACGACGGGUAGCCGGCCUGAGAGGGUGAACGGCCACACUGGGACUGGGACACGGCCCAGACUCC
RNAcentral lists this ribosomal RNA (285 nucleotides) under uncultured bacterium. Its description in RNAcentral is "partial 16S ribosomal RNA". It matches the Rfam family "Bacterial small subunit ribosomal RNA", at positions 56 to 339 of the family's 1533-position model. The record is from RNAcentral.